This 320-nucleotide unclassified non-coding RNA is filed under the name Hevea brasiliensis (rubber tree). Lineage: Eukaryota; Viridiplantae; Streptophyta; Magnoliopsida; Malpighiales; Euphorbiaceae. The record is from RNAcentral.
GGGGGGUUUGGGGGGUUUUUGGAUGGUGAAUCCAUAAAUAUCAAUAGAGAAGCCAAAAAGAAUGACCGCAUAUGCAGAAGAUGUUCAAAGAGGAAAAAUAAAGGGAAAUAGAGAUCAUUAGGAUUUACAAGACCGUAAGACCCCAACAUUCUAUAAUUUUAUAGUUCUGCAGAACAGAAAUAGAGGUUUUUCUUUUCCCCUUCAUAACAGUGGCACACUUAAAAGGGACAAUGAAGGAAAAAAAUUGAAAACCAAUGAAACCAGAGAAGAUUAGAAAACCAUUUCAAUGUCAUCUCUUUCCUCCUUUAAGACACCCAUAA